UUUCAGAAAGGUACACUGGGAUAGUCAUUUUUUCCUGAAGAAGCUUAUGGAGCGAUAAUCCUCCUUCUUCUCAUCCUCCGUGGCGAUACAACCGACUCUGUAGCGGGAUGCAGCAAAGAUCCCUUCAGCCUGACUGGCGAGUGGCGAGCGUUCAAUAAAGGCAUUUUAUUCUCCAACGUCGAAUGAGCCAAAUGCCGAAAUGAAACCUGGUGAUUGGUAAGCAACUUUCAGCUUAAACCAAAAAAAAUUUCAUGAAUGUAGGCCAAACAAAAAAGUAAUGUCGUUUGUCUACUGUUUUCGUACAUUUUAACAUUCAGCACAGUUGGCGGAUCAAAGGUUGCAGGAAACAAAGUCUUCAUCGUCUAUUUCGUUGAUGUCAAUUACUGAUGUGUGGAUUUUUAACGUGCUUUCCUGUAUUAACGGAUGCAGUUGGAAAAUUUGACUAAUUAGUUGACACUUUCUCUUGGUCUUGCUGGUUAAAAACAUUU
Daphnia pulicaria is the source of this 488-nucleotide long non-coding RNA. RefSeq lists it as uncharacterized. The record is from RefSeq and is a predicted model, not a curated record. The transcript is spliced from 2 exons. NCBI's taxonomy places the organism in Eukaryota, Metazoa, Arthropoda, Branchiopoda, Diplostraca, Daphniidae.